This 376-nucleotide ribosomal RNA is filed under the name uncultured bacterium. Its description in RNAcentral is "bacterial SSU rRNA". It matches the Rfam family "Bacterial small subunit ribosomal RNA", at positions 523 to 898 of the family's 1533-position model. The record is from RNAcentral.
AUACGUAGGGAGCAAGCGUUGUCCGGAUUUACUGGGUGUAAAGGGUGCGUAGGCGGCUCUGCAGGUCAGGCGUGAAAGCCGGAGGCUUAACCUCCGAACUGCGUUUGAAACUGUGGAGCUUGAGUGAAGUAGAGGUAGGCGGAAUUCCCGGUGUAGCGGUGAAAUGCGUAGAGAUCGGGAGGAACACCAGUGGCGAAGGCGGCCUACUGGGCUUUAACUGACGCUGAGGCACGAAAGCAUGGGUAGCAAACAGGAUUAGAUACCCUGGUAGUCCAUGCCGUAAACGAUGAUUACUAGGUGUGGGGGGUCUGACCCCUUCCGUGCCGGAGUUAACACAAUAAGUAAUCCACCUGGGGAGUACGGCCGCAAGGUUGAA